This 158-nucleotide small RNA is filed under the name Arabidopsis thaliana (thale cress). RNAcentral's name for it is "ATSL268450". Lineage: Eukaryota; Viridiplantae; Streptophyta; Magnoliopsida; Brassicales; Brassicaceae. The record is from RNAcentral.
UUAUUAGAUGUCAUGGGUAUGAGUGAGUAUGACAACUAGAACCAUAACCGGACCUUAAAAUCCUAAGUAUUGAAUCUUUGUAAGAAGAUACAAAGAGAAAGACUCAUACGGACUUCGGCUACACUAUCAAUGCUUUGAGAAGCAAGAAGAUGCUUGGU